Molecule: small nuclear RNA, 134 nt
Filed under: Suricata suricatta (meerkat)
Lineage: Eukaryota; Metazoa; Chordata; Mammalia; Carnivora; Herpestidae
Description: U2 spliceosomal RNA (ENSSSUG00005023219.1)
Rfam family: U2 spliceosomal RNA
About the family: U2 is a small nuclear RNA (snRNA) component of the spliceosome (involved in pre-mRNA splicing). Complementary binding between U2 snRNA (in an area lying towards the 5' end but 3' to hairpin I) and the branchpoint sequence (BPS) of the intron results the bulging out of an unpaired adenosine, on the BPS, which initiates a nucleophilic attack at the intronic 5' splice site, thus starting the first of two transesterification reactions that mediate splicing.
Source: Rfam by way of RNAcentral
AUCGCUUCUCGGCCUUUUGGCUAAGAUCAAGCGUAGUAUCUGUUCUUAUCAGCUUAAGGUGAUUCUACCAUAUAUAAAACUUUACAGUUUUGUUGGAUGGUAGACUGUGAUUAGUUAAGGAUGUAAAAACCAAA